CCUACGGGUGGCAGCAGUGGGGAAUAUUGCACAAUGGGGGAAACCCUGAUGCAGCGACGCCGCGUGAGUGAAGAAGGAUUUCGGUAUGUAAAGCUCUAUCAGCAGGGAAGAAAAUGACGGUACCUGACUAAGAAGCCCUGGCUAACUACGUGCCAGCAGCCGCGGUAAUACGUAGGGGGCAAGCGUUAUCCGGAUUUACGGGGUGUAAAGGGAGCGUAGGUGGGAUGGUAAGACAGUAGGGAAAACCCGGGGGUCCACCCCGCGGAUUGCGUUUGGAACUAGCAGGCUGGAGUGCUGGAGGGGUAGGCGGAAUUCCUAGUGUAGCGGUGAAAUGCGUAGAUAUUAGGAGGAACACCGGUGGCGAAGGCAGCUUACUGGACAGAAACUGACACUGAGGCUCGAAAGCGUGGGGAGCAAACAGGAUUAGAUACCCCGGUAGUC
This 441-nucleotide ribosomal RNA is filed under the name uncultured bacterium. RNAcentral describes it as "partial 16S ribosomal RNA". It matches the Rfam family "Bacterial small subunit ribosomal RNA", at positions 338 to 795 of the family's 1533-position model. The record is from RNAcentral.